UGCAGUCGUACGCUUCUUUUUCCACCGGAGCUUGCUCCACCGGAAAAAGAAGAGUGGCGAACGGGUGAGUAACACGUGGGUAACCUGCCCAUCAGAAGGGGAUAACACUUGGAAACAGGUGCUAAUACCGUAUAACAAUCGAAACCGCAUGGUUUUGAUUUGAAAGGCGCUUUCGGGUGUCGCUGAUGGAUGGACCCGCGGUGCAUUAGCUAGUUGGUGAGGUAACGGCUCACCAAGGCCACGAUGCAUAGCCGACCUGAGAGGGUGAUCGGCCACAUUGGGACUGAGACACGGCCCAAACUCCUACGGGAGGCAGCAGUAGGGAAUCUUCGGCAAUGGACGAAAGUCUGACCGAGCAACGCCGCGUGAGUGAAGAAGGUUUUCGGAUCGUAAAACUCUGUUGUUAGAGAAGAACAAGGAUGAGAGUAACUGUUCAUCCCUUGACGGUAUCUAACCAGAAAGCCACGGCUAACUACGUGCCAGCAGCCGCGGUAAUACGUAGGUGGCAAGCGUUGUCCGGAUUUAUUGGGCGUAAAGCGAGCGCAGGCGGUUUCUUAAGUCUGAUGUGAAAGCCCCCGGCUCAACCGGGGAGGGUCAUUGGAAACUGGGAGACUUGAGUGCAGAAGAGGAGAGUGGAAUUCCAUGUGUAGCGGUGAAAUGCGUAGAUAUAUGGAGGAACACCAGUGGCGAAGGCGGCUCUCUGGUCUGUAACUGACGCUGAGGCUCGAAAGCGUGGGGAGCAAACAGGAUUAGAUACCCUGGUAGUCCACGCCGUAAACGAUGAGUGCUAAGUGUUGGAGGGUUUCCGCCCUUCAGUGCUGCAGCUAACGCAUUAAGC
RNAcentral lists this ribosomal RNA (838 nucleotides) under Enterococcus sp. M161. RNAcentral's name for it is "bacterial SSU rRNA". It matches the Rfam family "Bacterial small subunit ribosomal RNA", at positions 56 to 865 of the family's 1533-position model. Lineage: Bacteria; Bacillati; Bacillota; Bacilli; Lactobacillales; Enterococcaceae. The record is from RNAcentral.